Molecule: long non-coding RNA, 1685 nt
Organism: Melopsittacus undulatus (budgerigar)
Lineage: Eukaryota; Metazoa; Chordata; Aves; Psittaciformes; Psittaculidae
Exons: 3
Source: RefSeq, a predicted model, not a curated record
ACCGCGGGGGUGUUAGCCUGCGCUCACCGUGCGGCGGCGGCGGGACAGCGCUGGCCUGCGGGUAGCCGCGUUGGGGACCUUCACCGUCGGCUAGCGGCAGCGGAGCGACCGUGGGGCAAGCACGAAGCGGCUGAGCCCGCUGUAGGCGGCAACCGCCCCUGUCGGCGCUAGAGAGGGCCCCAGAGCUGUGCAAAUGCGGAAGGGAAAGCCUUUCCUGUGCGUGCGGCUGCUGCUGUCUGCCCCUGCCCGCAUCCCGGUCCCUGUGGGGAUCGAGGGCUUAUUGUCUCUCCUAAGUUUACGCCUGCCGUCGCCGGUACGGGCCGCUGUAAGGCUUCAGUGUGAAAAACGCAUAGACCAUGUGCUGCAGUGACCCUGUAUGUUGCUCACAAAUGGGUCAAGGAAACCACAAAUUAAAAAUGUUUUCAUGUCUCCCAGCAUUCUCCAGGAGCUUGGUAAGCUGUCAGUUUCCCACAGCCCUCUGGGAUUUCCUCCAAGCAGUAGAGGGAGAAGACAGUGAAGAAGCUCUCUCCAUAUCCUACAGUGAUCAGGAUUCAUGGUUCAGAUGGAGGGAGUGUGCAUGCCAGGUGUUCGAUGGCAUUAAAUUGGAUUAAUGGAAGACAACAUAAUGGUAUUGCUGUAUUGCUUACCUAAAUUGAUAGCAUAUAUGCAGAUGAACCACACUUUAUGUGAAGGAUUUUCAUCUUUCAAAUUGAGUUACUAUGGUUUUGUUGGAUUAAACAGUUUUUGGUGGGUUUUCUGUAAAUGAGAAAGAUUCAGUUUUUGUUUGGUUUUUUUUUAAUUUACUUUUUAAUGUAAAAACUGUUUGCCCCAAAUUAUAAGUUGCUGAUUGAAGUGAACAGCAAUGCUAGUGCUAAUCCCUACACUGCCUAGUGACUCUUAAAUGUUCCAGGCCUCUGAACAUUCUCAUCCAUGUGACUCAGCACAGAUUGGAAUGGAUCUGAUCUGGAGAUGUAGUAAAUUUAUAUCUUGCCAAGUUAGUUGAGUCACAGCUGAGGAGCACACAGGGUUUCCUUUGAUGGAACAUACACCUUCCUCCUAUUACAGGGUAACACCUAGCAUGCAGCCAGCACUUGUGUAGCUAGAAAAAGCAGGUAGGCAAGUAAGAGCAAGCGAUUGUCUUAAAUGUAGAGCUUCUUGAAAAUAAAAUUUGAAAUACAGCCCACUCAUGGCAAGUAGCUCAGUAUAAAUGGCAUUUAUACAGGGAACCACAAAUUUACUGCCGCUCUGUGACUUCAGAGCUUUUUCCUUUGUGUCAAAGUAAACACAUACAUAUGUUAGCACUAUUGAGUGAGAAGAGUCAGUAGGAAGAGUCUGAAGUUCUUGUUCCUCAACAAUAUCAGCUAACAGAACAGAACAAAACACAAUUAAUGAACUGCAACCUGAGAAGGAGAACCUUCAAGUGUAGACUGCAAACCUCAGCUUGCACUGUUUGCCACUGGCUGUGCAGUCAAAACUCCUAGUGGCUGCAACAGAGAUUUUUCUGUGUCUCAUCAGUAUAGGUCUCCAUUGAGUUAUGUUUUAGUUCCUAAUAAAAUUUUGCUUGCAGAGGUUUUGUUUUGUUGUGUUUUCCUGCAAGACUAUUUCAUCUUUAGAGCAGGAUAUCCUCUGUGUUGUACUGGUGCGUAAAACACAAUGACAGGUGAUUUCAUAGAGGGGUUGGUUAU